RNAcentral lists this ribosomal RNA (433 nucleotides) under uncultured bacterium. RNAcentral's name for it is "partial 16S ribosomal RNA". It matches the Rfam family "Bacterial small subunit ribosomal RNA", at positions 29 to 507 of the family's 1533-position model. The record is from RNAcentral.
AACGAACGCUGGCGGCAUGCCUAACACAUGCAAGUCGAACGAGACCUUCGGGUCUAGUGGCGCACGGGUGCGUAACGCGUGGGAACCUGCCCUUAGGUUCGGCAUAACUCCCCGAAAGGGGUGCUACUACCGGAUAAUGUCUUCGGACCAAAGAUUUAUCGCCUUUGGAUGGGCCCGCGUUGGAUUAGCUAGUUGGUAGGGUAAAAGCCUACCAAGGCGACGAUCCAUAGCUGGUCUGAGAGGAUGAUCAGCCACACUGGGACUGAGACACGGCCCAGACUCCUACGGGAAGCAGCAGUGGGGAAUAUUGGACAAUGGGCGAAAGCCUGAUCCAGCAAUGCCGCGUGAGUGAUGAAGGCCUUAGGGUUGUAAAGCUCUUUUACCCGGGAUGAUAAUGACAGUACCGGGAGAAUAAGCUCCGGCUAACUCCGUG